Molecule: ribosomal RNA, 406 nt
Filed under: uncultured bacterium
Lineage: Bacteria
Description: partial 16S ribosomal RNA
Rfam family: Bacterial small subunit ribosomal RNA
Source: RNAcentral
AUUGAACGCUGGCGGCAGGCCUAACACAUGCAAGUCGAGCGAGCGGCGGACGGGUGAGUAAUGUCUGGGAAACUGCCUGAUGGAGGGGGAUAACUACUGGAAACGGUAGCUAAUACCGCAUACCAUCAGAUGUGCCCAGAUGUGAUGAGCUAGUAGGUGGGGUAAUGGAUCACCUAGGUGACAAGCCAUAGCUGGUCUGAAGGGAUGACCAGCAACUCUGGAAAGAGGACACGGUCCAGAAUCGUACGGGAGGCAGCAGUGGGGAUUAUUGGACAAUGGGCGCAAGGCUGAUGCAGCCAAGGCGCGUGUGUGAAGAGGGCCUUCGGGUUGUAAAGCACUUUCAGCGGCGAGGCGUUACCCGCAGAAGAAGCACCGGCUAACUCCGUGCCAGCAGCCGCGGUAAUUC